CCCUUAGAUGUUCUGGGCAGCACGCGCGCUACAAUGGUCUUCGCAAACGGAUGCAUUCUCGAAGGAGAAUGCCAAUCUUGGAAUCUAUGCCUUGGUCGGGACAGUUGCUUGCAAUUUUUCGACUCGAACCAGGAAUUCCUUGUAAUCGUGAUUCAUCACAUCACGAUGAAUACGUCCCUGUCCUUUGUACACACCGCCCGUCGCUCCUACCGAUCGAAGAGUUAGGUGAAUUGUUUUGAUCGAUAAGAUUUGACUAUGGUCAACUCUCGUUGUGAAAUUCUGUGAAUCUGACUGUUUAGAGGAAGGAAAAGUCGUAACA
RNAcentral lists this ribosomal RNA (319 nucleotides) under uncultured eukaryote. Its description in RNAcentral is "partial 18S ribosomal RNA". It matches the Rfam family "Eukaryotic small subunit ribosomal RNA", at positions 1470 to 1796 of the family's 1831-position model. The record is from RNAcentral.